This 468-nucleotide ribosomal RNA is filed under the name uncultured bacterium. RNAcentral's name for it is "partial 16S ribosomal RNA". It matches the Rfam family "Bacterial small subunit ribosomal RNA", at positions 29 to 523 of the family's 1533-position model. The record is from RNAcentral.
AGUGAACGCUGGCGGCGUGCUUAACACAUGCAAGUCGAACGAAUAAGUGCCUGUAGCAAUACAGGAUUACUGUUAGUGGCAGACGGGUGAGUAAUACAUGGGAAUCUGCCUUGGAGGCUGGGAUAACUGUUGGAAACGACAGCUAAUACCGGAUAUCGCCGAGAGGUGAAAGUUUUUUCGCUCCAAGAUGAGCCCAUGCAAGAUUAGCUAGUUGGUAGGGUAAAAGCCUACCAAGGCGAAGAUCUUUAGCUGGUCUAAGAGGAUGAUCAGCCACACUGGAACUGAGACACGGUCCAGACUCCUACGGGAGGCAGCAGUGGGGAAUAUUGGACAAUGGGCGAAGGCCUGAUCCAGCGACGCCGCGUGAGUGAUGAAGGCCUUAGGGUUGUAAAGCUCUUUCAGCAGGGAAGAUAAUGACGGUACCUGCAGAAGAAGCUCCGGCUAACUUCGUGCCAGCCGCCGCUGUAA